RNAcentral lists this ribosomal RNA (1370 nucleotides) under uncultured bacterium. RNAcentral describes it as "bacterial SSU rRNA". It matches the Rfam family "Bacterial small subunit ribosomal RNA", at positions 28 to 1381 of the family's 1533-position model. The record is from RNAcentral.
GAUAAACGCUGGCGGCGUGCCUAAUACAUGCAAGUCGAGCGAACGGACGAGAAGCUUGCUUCUCUGAUGUUAGCGGCGGACGGGUGAGUAACACGUGGAUAACCUACCUAUAAGACUGGGAUAACUUCGGGAAACCGGAGCUAAUACCGGAUAAUAUUUUGAACCGCAUGGUUCAAAAGUGAAAGACGGUCUUGCUGUCACUUAUAGAUGGAUCCGCGCUGCAUUAGCUAGUUGGUAAGGUAACGGCUUACCAAGGCAACGAUGCAUAGCCGACCUGAGAGGGUGAUCGGCCACACUGGAACUGAGACACGGUCCAGACUCCUACGGGAGGCAGCAGUAGGGAAUCUUCCGCAAUGGGCGAAAGCCUGACGGAGCAACGCCGCGUGAGUGAUGAAGGUCUUCGGAUCGUAAAACUCUGUUAUUAGGGAAGAACAUAUGUGUAAGUAACUGUGCACAUCUUGACGGUACCUAAUCAGAAAGCCACGGCUAACUACGUGCCAGCAGCCGCGGUAAUACGUAGGUGGCAAGCGUUAUCCGGAAUUAUUGGGCGUNAAGCGCGCGUAGCGGUUUUUUAGUCUGAUGUGAAAGCCCACGGCUCAACCGUGGAGGGUCAUUGGAAACUGGAAAACUUGAGUGCAGAAGAGGAAAGUGGAAUUCCAUGUGUAGCGGUGAAAUGCGCAGAGAUAUGGAGGAACACCAGUGGCGAAGGCGACUUUCUGGUCUGUAACUGACGCUGAUGUGCGAAAGCGUGGGGAUCAAACAGGAUUAGAUACCCUGGUAGUCCGCGCCGUAAACGAUGAGUGCUAAGUGUUAGGGGGUUUCCGCCCCUUAGUGCUGCAGCUAACGCAUUAAGCACUCCGCCUGGGGAGUACGACCGCAAGGUUGAAACUCAAAGGAAUUGACGGGGACCCGCACAAGCGGUGGAGCAUGUGGUUUAAUUCGAAGCAACGCGAAGAACCUUACCAAAUCUUGACAUCCUUUGACAACUCUAGAGAUAGAGCCUUCCCCUUCGGGGGACAAAGUGACAGGUGGUGCAUGGUUGUCGUCAGCUCGUGUCGUGAGAUGUUGGGUUAAGUCCCGCAACGAGCGCAACCCUUAAGCUUAGUUGCCAUCAUUAAGUUGGGCACUCUAAGUUGACUGCCGGUGACAAACCGGAGGAAGGUGGGGAUGACGUCAAAUCAUCAUGCCCCUUAUGAUUUGGGCUACACACGUGCUACAAUGGACAAUACAAAGGGCAGCGAAACCGCGAGGUCAAGCAAAUCCCAUAAAGUUGUUCUCAGUUCGGAUUGUAGUCUGCAACUCGACUACAUGAAGCUGGAAUCGCUAGUAAUCGUAGAUCAGCAUGCUACGGUGAAUACGUUCCCGGGUCU